This 250-nucleotide ribosomal RNA is filed under the name uncultured bacterium. RNAcentral's name for it is "partial 16S ribosomal RNA". It matches the Rfam family "Bacterial small subunit ribosomal RNA", at positions 526 to 779 of the family's 1533-position model. The record is from RNAcentral.
CGUAUGGUGCAAGCGUUAUCCGGAUUUACUGGGUGUAAAGGGAGCGCAGGCGGUGCGGCAAGUCUGAUGUGAAGCCCGGGCUCAACCCCGGUACUGCAUUGGAAACUGUCGUACUAGAGUGUCGGAGGGUAAGCGGAAUUCCUAGUGUAGCGGUGAAAUGCGUAGAUAUUAGGAGGAACACCAGUGGCGAAGGCGGCUUACUGGACGAUAACUGACGCUGAGGCUCGAAAGCGUGGGAGCAAACAGGAUU